AGACACUCUCCAAAAAGCAGAGACAGCAGGAAGAGGGGAGUGGAGGCAGCCCAUUCGCCUGGGGAAAUGACUGGGUUGUCGAUGGACAGUGGCGGCAGCCCCAAGGGGGACGUGGACCCGUUCUACUAUGGUAAGCCUGGGCCCCUGUGCACCCUUCCUGAGCCCUCAGGACCCCUUCCACCAAGCAGCGGCCUCUCCCAGCCCCAGGUCCAUGCUCUGUGCCCCUUAUCUCCCCUGGUUACCGCGGGCUGCUGCGGGCGGGCUGCGGGGAGAGACAGCUGCUGGGAGAGACCACCCAUCCCGCUCCUCUUGCCCUCUCUUUCCGGAGACUAUGAGACUGUUCGCAAUGGGGGCCUGAUCUUCGCUGGACUGGCCUUCAUCGUGGGGCUCCUCAUCCUCCUCAGUAAGUGGGGUGGCCUCCAGGGAAGGGGUGCUGACCAGGGCACCUCUCUUCUCAAGGCCACUGAGCAGGCUGGCUUUCUGGAGUUGCCAAGGGAGGGGUGAGCCUCCCCACCACGCCCCCCACUGCAGGAUGUGGGAAUGGGUGCCCGGUGGGGUGCCAGGCUCGCCGGGAGCACAGUGUGAGGUUCCUGCUUGCUCAAGUGCACCCUCCAGUGGGCCCGGGAGGAGACGCAGAGGUGAGAGCGAACCCACGGGGUAACUGGGUAACCGGAGGGCCAGGCAGGGGGACUAGGCCCCCCGCUGCUAACCAUGGUCCCAUACUCAUUUGUUAAAUAGGGAUGAUCCCACCUGCCUCACAAGAUUAGGGCUAGCAUCCAAAGACACGGCAGUCAGGACAGCACUCUGAGAAUGGUCCAGUGCAGACUCAGAGUGUUCUGGGGGAGACAGAGAGAGUUAUGUAUCCUCAAGCCCUGAGGGGCACACAGCAGGAGCUUAAUAACUGCACAUUGACUUGUUUUGGUCCAACCCAAAGAAAAAGACACAGAAAACACAACCCAUGGAAAGAAGAUACAGCAAGCACACCUGUGGGCUCUGGACUUCUAAUGCACGUGUGCCACUGCCACCCCACCCCAAGGCUCGGGCCACAGUCCUGCGGGUCUCCCCAUUUUCCCGUGUUGCCCAUGGCAGCUCUCUCUACGUGUGCCACUGCCAGCCCACCCCAAGGCUUGGGCCACAGUCCUGCAGGUCUCCCCAUUUUCACAUGUUGCCCAUGGCAGCUCCCGGAGGGCAGUGCCGGGUGGCGGCUGAGCACAUAGGCACAGGAGGCAGGUGGCCUAAGCAAGGGGCUCCACUUUGGAGUUGCUGCCAUCCUUCUUCAGGUGUUCGUCGGGCAGCUGUGCUGGGGGCACCAUGAUGGCCCAGUCUCUGCUGCUGCUCUCGAUAUGCCAACAGCCCACCAUGGAUCUGCUCCAGUAAAUAUUUGCUGACUGACUGACUGACUUAGGUUCUUGAAUGCCUAUGGUCCAGCCUUAUAUAAAGAGAGAGAAGGCUGGGCGUGGUGGCUCAUGCCUGUAAUGCUGGCAUAUAGGAGGCCAAGGCAGGAGGAUCUCUUGAGACCAGGAGUUUAAGACCAGCCUGGUCAAUACAGUGAGACCCGAUCUAUAC
RNAcentral lists this small RNA (1566 nucleotides) under Pan troglodytes (chimpanzee). RNAcentral describes it as "retained intron". Lineage: Eukaryota; Metazoa; Chordata; Mammalia; Primates; Hominidae. The record is from RNAcentral.